Molecule: ribosomal RNA, 452 nt
Filed under: uncultured Treponema sp.
Lineage: Bacteria; Pseudomonadati; Spirochaetota; Spirochaetia; Treponematales; Treponemataceae
Description: partial 16S ribosomal RNA
Rfam family: Bacterial small subunit ribosomal RNA
Source: RNAcentral
ACGGAAGGCAGCAGCUAAGAAUAUUCCGCAAUGGACGAAAGUCUGACGGAGCGACGCCGCGUGGAUGAUGAAGGCCGAAAGGUUGUAAAAUCCUUUUGAACUGGAAGAAUAAGCAGUGCAGGUAAUGGUAUUGUGGUGACGGUACAGUUUGAAUAAGCAACGGCUAAUUACGUGCCAGCAGCCGCGGUAACACGUAAGUUGCGAGCGUUGUUCGGAAUUAUUGGGCGUAAAGGGCAUGUAGGCGGUUAUCUAAGCUUGGUGUGAAAGGCAGGGGCUCAACUCCUGGACUGCAUUGAGAACUGGAUGACUAGAGUUACUGAAGUGGAAUCAGAAUUCCAGGUGUAGGGGUGAAAUCUGUAGAUAUCUGGAAGAAUACCAAUGGCGAAGGCAGGUUUCAGGCAGAUAACUGACGCUGAGGUGCGAAGGUGCGGGGAGCAAACAGGAUUAGAUAC